This 958-nucleotide non-coding RNA is filed under the name Callanthias japonicus. RNAcentral's name for it is "12S ribosomal RNA". It matches the Rfam family "Bacterial small subunit ribosomal RNA". Lineage: Eukaryota; Metazoa; Chordata; Actinopteri; Callanthiidae. The record is from RNAcentral.
CAGAAGCUUGGUCCUAGCUUUAUUAACAGCUCUAGCUAAACUUACACAUGCAAGUAUCCGCCCCCCCGUGAAAAUGCCCAAAUAAAACCCCUAACGGGGAAAAAGGAGCUGGUAUCAGGCACACAUACUUUAGCCCACGACACCUUGCAUAGCCACACCCCCAAGGGUAAUCAGCAGUGACAAAUAUUAAGCCAUAAGUGUAAACUUGACUUAGUUACACGCUAAGAGGGCCGGUAAAUCUCGUGCCAGCCACCGCGGUUAUACGAGAGGCCCAAGUUGUUAAUCAUCGGCGUAAAGGGUGGUUAAAAUAAAAUUUUACUAAAGUCGAACGCCUACAGGACCGUUAUACGUAUUCCGAAGGUAUGAAGAUCAAUUACGAAAGUGGCUUUAUUACAUUUGACCCCACGAAAGCUAAGGUACAAACUGGGAUUAGAUACCCCACUAUGCUUAGCCGUAAACACUGGUAGCUGACAACAAACACUGCCCGCCUGGACACUACGAGCACCAGCUUAAAAUCCAAAGGACUUGGCGGUGCUUCAGAUCCACCUAGAGGAGCCUGUCCUAGAACCGAUAGUCCCCGUUCAACCUCACCUUUCCUUGUUAAUACCCGCCUAUAUACCGCCGUCGCCAGCUUUCCCCGUGAGGGUUAAAUAGUUAGCACAAUUGGUCCUAGCCCAGUACGUCAGGUCGAGGUGUAGCUUAUGGAAAGGGAUGAGAUGGGCUACAUUGUUUUAAUGCAAACAAAUACGAAAGAUUACUCUGAAAUGUGUGUCGGAAGGAGGAUUUAGAAGUAAGUAGAAAAUAGAGCGUUCUACUGAACCCGGCCCUGAAGCGUGUACACACCGCCCGUCGCUCCCCCCGAGCUUUAUUUAUCAACUAUAAUUAAUACACUAUCUUGUGCUAAGGGGGGAUAAGUCGUAACAUGGUAAGUGUACCGGAAGGUGCACUUGGCAUAAAC